Molecule: transfer RNA, 71 nt
Filed under: Streptomyces sp. MP131-18
Lineage: Bacteria; Bacillati; Actinomycetota; Actinomycetes; Kitasatosporales; Streptomycetaceae
Description: tRNA-Ala
Source: RNAcentral
CACCGCAUGUCGGGCCGUGGCCGUCGGUUCGCGUUCGACGAGGACGGCUCGUUCGGAACGGGCUCCGGCGG